UACGUAGGGGGCAAGCGUUAUCCGGAAUUACUGGGUGUAAAGGGAGCGUAGACGGUAAUGUAAGUCUGGAGUGAAAGGCGGGGGCCCAACCCCCGGACUGCUCUGGAAACUGUGCGGCUAGAGUACUGGAGGGGCAGGCGGAAUUCCUAGUGUAGCGGUGAAAUGCGUAGAUAUUAGGAGGAACACCAGUGGCGAAGGCGGCCUGCUGGACAGUAACUGACGUUGAGGCUCGAAAGCGUGGGGAGCAAAUAGG
RNAcentral lists this ribosomal RNA (253 nucleotides) under uncultured bacterium. Its description in RNAcentral is "partial 16S ribosomal RNA". It matches the Rfam family "Bacterial small subunit ribosomal RNA", at positions 524 to 776 of the family's 1533-position model. The record is from RNAcentral.